Molecule: long non-coding RNA, 425 nt
Filed under: Linum usitatissimum (flax)
Lineage: Eukaryota; Viridiplantae; Streptophyta; Magnoliopsida; Malpighiales; Linaceae
Description: long non-coding RNA (LUSI_LNC003429)
Source: RNAcentral
AUUCCAAAGGAAUUUAACUCCUUGUUUUCCGAUGAACUGGAACUGGACUUCAAAUAGAAUUCAAUUGCGGAUAUGCUCGAGCACAGAGAUGCACAAAACAAUUGCAUACCUGGGCGAAAAGAAUCAAUCCAGAGGCAUACUGGACAUCACUCUCCACUUAGGUGCAUACUGGCCAUCAUUUUCCACUUAGGUAACCAAUAAAAACAGGCUGCGAUACGAUUAGAAACCAUGAGAAAGUAUGAUGGCGCUGUAAAAAAACAACACAAACAUUACAUUAACUUCCCUCCCGCACCUUUAACAAACACCACUUGUUCAAAAUUCCAUUCACCCAUCAAAUGAAUGGGGGAAUUACAUGUCUUAAAGACCAAGCAAGAUCCUGUGACCACCUGCUGCUAACUCCCACCAUGGCCACCAGUUCAAAAUUC